Molecule: ribosomal RNA, 484 nt
Filed under: uncultured bacterium
Lineage: Bacteria
Description: partial 16S ribosomal RNA
Rfam family: Bacterial small subunit ribosomal RNA
Source: RNAcentral
AUUGAACGCUGGCGGCAGGCCUAACACAUGCAAGUCGAGCGGAUGAAGGGAGCUUGCUCCUGGAUUCAGCGGCGGACGGGUGAGUAAUGCCUAGGAAUCUGCCUGGUAGUGGGGGAUAACGUCCGGAAACGGGCGCUAAUACCGCAUACGUCCUGAGGGAGAAAGUGGGGGAUCUUCGGACCUCACGCUAUCAGAUGAGCCUAGGUCGGAUUAGCUAGUUGGUGGGGUAAAGGCCUACCAAGGCGACGAUCCGUAACUGGUCUGAGAGGAUGAUCAGUCACACUGGAACUGAGACACGGUCCAGACUCCUACGGGAGGCAGCAGUGGGGAAUAUUGGACAAUGGGCGAAAGCAUGAUCCAGCCAUGCCGAGUGUGUGAAGAAGGUCUUCGGAUUGUAAAGCACUUUAAGUUGGGAGGAAGGGCAGUAAGUUAAUACCUUGCUAUUUUGACGUUACCAACAGAAUAAGCACCGGCUAACUUCGUG